This 484-nucleotide ribosomal RNA is filed under the name uncultured bacterium. RNAcentral describes it as "bacterial SSU rRNA". It matches the Rfam family "Bacterial small subunit ribosomal RNA", at positions 27 to 507 of the family's 1533-position model. The record is from RNAcentral.
GGACGAACGCUGGCGGCGUGCCUAACACAUGCAAGUCGAACGGGGACUUAGUGGAAUGCGGCUUCGGCCAAAGGAAACUAAGUUUAGUGGCGAACGGGUGAGUAACGCGUGAGGAACCUGCCUUUCAGUGGGGGACAACAGUUGGAAACGACUGCUAAUACCGCAUAACAUAUUCGGACCGCAUGAUCUGAAUAUCAAAGCUUUAUGUGCUGAAAGAUGGCCUCGCGUCUGAUUAGAUAGUUGGUGGGGUAACGGCCCACCAAGUCGACGAUCAGUAGCCGGUCUGAGAGGAUGAACGGCCACAUUGGGACUGAGAUACGGCCCAGACUCCUACGGGAGGCAGCAGUGGGGAAUAUUGGGCAAUGGGGGAAACCCUGACCCAGCAACGCCGCGUGAAGGAAGAAGGCCCUCGGGUUGUAAACUUCUUUUAGCAGGGACGAAGGACGUGACGGUACCUGCAGAAAAAGCAACGGCUAACUACGUG